This 218-nucleotide long non-coding RNA is filed under the name Manihot esculenta (cassava). RNAcentral's name for it is "long non-coding RNA (MESC_LNC011043)". The record is from RNAcentral. Lineage: Eukaryota; Viridiplantae; Streptophyta; Magnoliopsida; Malpighiales; Euphorbiaceae.
AAACUCUCCCUUUCUGCUGAUUGAACCAACGAGGAAUACCUGGGGUGAAGCUUCAUAACAUAUCUCCUAGACUUCUUUAGGUCUGUAUCAAGACCUUGUCCUGCAAACGGCAACAGCUCCAGGAACCUGUCCGUAAACUCCUCUACGCUCAUCUCUUCCGUCUGCCUUAGCUGCUCAAACUCAAUCAUCUUCAGUUCUCUGGAACUAUCUGGAAAAGC